AUCUGGUGUCCAGAGGACUGGAAUGAAUGAAUAUGGAUCUUUUCCCUUGGCCUUGAUAUUGGUUGUAUCAUGGAUGCUUGAAAGAUGGAUGGAGCUGAAGAAGUUUCUCCAGUCUUUGUGAAGAUCGUUUUAACAGUCCCGUCUCUUUGUUGGAUAAAAAGAGGGUCUGUAGCUUGAACAGGCUUAGUUUGGGAUGCCUGAAGCUUCUC
RNAcentral lists this long non-coding RNA (209 nucleotides) under Ricinus communis (castor bean). RNAcentral's name for it is "long non-coding RNA (RCOM_LNC002643)". The record is from RNAcentral. Lineage: Eukaryota; Viridiplantae; Streptophyta; Magnoliopsida; Malpighiales; Euphorbiaceae.